RNAcentral lists this ribosomal RNA (497 nucleotides) under uncultured bacterium. Its description in RNAcentral is "partial 16S ribosomal RNA". It matches the Rfam family "Bacterial small subunit ribosomal RNA", at positions 28 to 507 of the family's 1533-position model. The record is from RNAcentral.
GAUGAACGCUGGCGGCGUGCCUAAUACAUGCAAGUCGAGCGAACGGACGAGAAGCUUGCUUCUCUGAUGUUAUCGGCGGACGGGUGAGUAACACGUGGAUAACCUACCUAUAAGACUGGGAUAACUUCGGGAAACCGGAGCUAAUACCGGAUAAUAUUUUGAACCGCAUGGUUCAAAAGUGAAAGACGGUCUUGCUGUCACUUAUAGAUGGAUCCGCGCUGCAUUAGCUAGUUGGUAAGGUAACGGCUUACCAAGGCAACGAUGCAUAGCCGACCUGAGAGGGUGAUCGGCCACACUGGAACUGAGACACGGUCCAGACUCCUACGGGAGGCAGCAGUAGGGAAUCUUCCGCAAUGGGCGAAAGCCUGACGGAGCAACGCCGCGUGAGUGAUGAAGGUCUUCGGAUCGUAAAACUCUGUUAUUAGGGAAGAACAUAUGUGUAAGUAACUGUGCACAUCUUGAUGGUACCUAAUCAGAAAGCCACGGCUAACUACGUG